RNAcentral lists this long non-coding RNA (711 nucleotides) under Monodelphis domestica (gray short-tailed opossum). Its description in RNAcentral is "lncRNA (ENSMODG00000045111.1)". The record is from RNAcentral. Lineage: Eukaryota; Metazoa; Chordata; Mammalia; Didelphimorphia; Didelphidae.
GUGUUAAAUUGUCUUUGGGAAAUUGCAAACUUCUUUUGAUGAUCUCAGCUUCUUGCUGAAGCAAACAGCCAUAUUAAAAAUAUUCUUCUGUAGGAUUUUAUAUAUAAGACUCAUAUAUUACUACAAUUUCUAAAGACUUAAAGUGUAAAAUUAUCUCCAUAGCAGUGGAUGCAUCAUGCAUAUGAACAAACUUCAGCACAUUACAAAAGGGAACUACAUGGGAGACAUGUGAAAGACAUUAUCAAAGAAAUACACAUUAAUGAAGAUGAACCAGUCCUGUAGGGAUAGCUGUAACUAGCUCAUGUGCUCUGUUGAUGUUAGAGAAAACAAGUCAAUCUUCUCAGCUCUGACUUUGACAUCUUUGUGGAGGAGGAGAUGUUAGAAACUUCCAAAUUCCAGCUUCAUCAAGAUGUAAAACAGAUAAAGGGAAUGGAAAUUGUAUUGAAGAUGACUGGCAAUUCAUUCAGGAGGAAGUGUCACUUCAGUAGGGAUAGAAGACACAGGAAAAUGAUAUCUCCUUUUUAAGACAGCCUUGUUAGGAAACAGCUGGUACCAACUUUUCUUUUGAUUUUCACCUAUGAGAAGGAAAUCUAGACUUGUGAAGUACUUAUACAGAAUGGAUCUGAGAUGAAAAGUAAAAUAUUUUGCAUUCCUUGUAAGUUAACUUCCUAAAAGAAUAAAUCAUGUGUUGGGCUAUUGUUUUAUCUUCUA